CGGACGGGUGAGUAAUGUAUGGGGAUCUGCCUGAUGGCGGGGGAUAACUACUGGAAACGGUAGCUAAUACCGCAUAAUGUCUACGGACCAAAGCGGGGGACCUCCGGGCCUCGCGCCAUCAGAUGAACCCAUAUGGGAUUAGCUAGUAGGUAAGGUAACGGCUUACCUAGACGACGAUCCCUAGCUGGUCUGAGAGGAUGAUCAGCCACACUGGGACUGAGACACGGCCCAG
This 232-nucleotide ribosomal RNA is filed under the name uncultured bacterium. Its description in RNAcentral is "partial 16S ribosomal RNA". It matches the Rfam family "Bacterial small subunit ribosomal RNA", at positions 99 to 334 of the family's 1533-position model. The record is from RNAcentral.